GAGGGAUGUGGGAGCUGGGGUAGGCAAGCCUGGUGGGAGUGCAGAUACCCACUUCUACAAGCAAACUUCAGAUAUUUUUCAAGACAGGCGCCUUCAUUUGAAUUAACGAAAGAGUCUUCAAAAUCUGAAGCCGGAAGAACCAUUGGUGUCGUUCCUCCAAGGAUAUUUCUAUUUCUAAGGAUGUUUAUGUUCAAAGAAUUUUUUUAUUAUAGGGAGUUUCAUGGGGAACUCUUCUUCUGCCAUGAAAACAAGCCCAGGCCCAUUUGGCAGAGGAUGUGAUUUCACAAAGAGCAGAGACAAGUCAUCCUGGCUGAGCCAUCUUAGACUAUCCACCUUCCAGCUAGAGGCCGGUUAAUCACAGAUGCCUGAGUGAACCCAAUUAGAUGGGCAGAAUGCAGCCAGAUCAGUGGAACUGCCCAGGGGAACAACCCAAUUGUUGUUGAUAAAGCCACUGGAUUUGGGACAAUUUGUUACACAGCUUUAUUGUGGCCGAAGAUGACUGAUAUACAUAACAAGCUGCUUAUAGUUCCUGAACACAAAUGUUCUUUCACUGAUUUUAAAGAUGCUAUUUCCUCUGCUUAGAAUAAGUCUCAUCUAAGUCCACAGUCAUUAAUAUGUCAUUCACAUUUCUAGACAUUCAUCUCCCCUAUCUUUGUCAGCCAGGGACAGUCCUACAUAAUUUUCAAGAUGUUGCAACUCAGAUGCCCCUGCCACACUCAGCAACAGUGUGAUGGGUCAAAUCUCCCUGAUUCCUCCUUCUCUCUCCCACCUCAGAGUUACUCACCCUCUCCGCUAGGCUUCUUAGCACUUGGCACCUAUUUACAUUCUAGCAAUUGUCACAUUAUAUUGCAUUUAUUUUAUUUUAUAUUUUUGUCUCCUCCACUACUGUGAGCUCCUUGAGAUGCCACCCAUUUUAGAGCAGUCAGGGCCUAAGAUAGGUCCACACAUUUUAGUUUCAUGACUGUGUUAAUUUUCUAUUAAGAGUUUGUUUCUUAUCAACGAAUCUUUAUGCUCAAAAUAAAAAUAUGGAAGGAUUAUGCAAUACAAGUCAGGACAGUAUUUAAGUUAAUUUUCAAUCGUGUGCUAACACCACACCAGCAUUAAGGAAACAAAAG
Equus caballus (horse) is the source of this 1115-nucleotide long non-coding RNA. The record is from Ensembl. Lineage: Eukaryota; Metazoa; Chordata; Mammalia; Perissodactyla; Equidae.